AUUGAACGCUGGCGGCAUGCUUUACACAUGCAAGUCGAACGGUAACAGGCCGCAAGGUGCUGACGAGUGGCGAACGGGUGAGUAAUGCAUCGGAACGUGCCCAGUCGUGGGGGAUAACUACUCGAAAGAGUAGCUGAUACCGCAUACGAUCUAUGGAUGAAAGCGGGGGACCGUAAGGCCUCGCGCGAUUGGAGCGGCCGAUGUCAGAUUAGGUAGUUGGUGGGGUAAAGGCUCACCAAGCCAACGAUCUGUAGCUGGUCUGAGAGGACCACCAGCCACACUGGGACUGAGACACGGCCCAGACUCCUACGGGAGGCAGCAGUGGGGAAUUUUGGACAAUGGGCGCAAGCCUGAUCCAGCAAUGCCGCGUGCAGGAAGAAGGCCUUCGGGUUGUAAACUGCUUUUGUACGGAACGAAACGGCUCUGGUUAAUACCCGGGGCUAAUGACGGUACCGUAAGAAUAAGCACCGGCUAACUACGUG
This 482-nucleotide ribosomal RNA is filed under the name uncultured bacterium. RNAcentral's name for it is "partial 16S ribosomal RNA". It matches the Rfam family "Bacterial small subunit ribosomal RNA", at positions 30 to 507 of the family's 1533-position model. The record is from RNAcentral.